CUCGUAUUUAGGUGUAAUAAACAGACAAAAUCUCCACUUGCACUACAGGGAUUUGGUCCUAUGAUUUGCAAUUUCCUUAUCGGUUACCCACAAGCCCUGGCUAUUUAUCCUUUUUGACAAUACAAAAGCUGACAGCCAAAGGGUUUGCUUUGACAUUAACUCCCUACAGAGACACAGAAAGCAGUAUUUAACAAGAUAACACUUUGUUCAAAUGCGUAACGAGGUCAUGAGAUGCCAUAGGACUUUGCUUUCCCCACCUAACCUGUUCCAUGUUGUCGACACAUUGCAGGUCGCUGGCUGAGGGUUUUUUUAAAUAAUUAAAUUAUAAGAAUACAUG
Molecule: non-coding RNA, 337 nt
Organism: Pelobates cultripes (western spadefoot toad)
Lineage: Eukaryota; Metazoa; Chordata; Amphibia; Anura; Pelobatidae
Source: the annotation of a GenBank genome assembly